UACGAAGGGGACUAGCGUUGUUCGGAAUCACUGGGCGUAAAGCGCACGUAGGCGGAUUUGUAAGUCAGGGUUGAAAUCCCGGGGCUCAACCUCGGAACUGCCUUUGAUACUGCGAAUCUCGAGUCCGAUAGAGGUGGGUGGAAUUCCUAGUGUAGAGGUGAAAUUCGUAGAUAUUAGGAAGAACACCAGUGGCGAAGGCGACUUACUGGACACAUAUUGACGCUGAGGUGCGAAAGCGUGGGGAGCAAACAGG
This 253-nucleotide ribosomal RNA is filed under the name uncultured bacterium. RNAcentral's name for it is "partial 16S ribosomal RNA". It matches the Rfam family "Bacterial small subunit ribosomal RNA", at positions 524 to 776 of the family's 1533-position model. The record is from RNAcentral.